GGAGGGAAAGAAGCUCUUCUGAAACCCUAGCCUGGGAUAGUGAUCGGUUGUCUUUGGAGCAACAGGAACGGGAUCAAGCAGAGGAAGAACUCAUGGCAGGACGGAGUCCUGGGCACCAACUGCCCCAUCCCGCCCAACUCCAACUUCACCUACAAGUGGCAGGCCAAGGAUCAGAUCGGCUCCUUCUUCUACUUCCCAUCGACGGCGAUGCACCGGGCCGCCGGCGGCUUCGGGGGGCUCAACGUGAACCAGAGGGGGCCCAUUCCUAUCCCAUAUCCGGUUCCCGCCGGAGAUUUCACCCUCCUCAUCGGCGACUGGUACA
RNAcentral lists this long non-coding RNA (322 nucleotides) under Spirodela polyrhiza (greater duckweed). Its description in RNAcentral is "long non-coding RNA (SPOL_LNC000115)". Lineage: Eukaryota; Viridiplantae; Streptophyta; Magnoliopsida; Alismatales; Araceae. The record is from RNAcentral.